Molecule: long non-coding RNA, 3121 nt
Organism: Triplophysa rosa
Lineage: Eukaryota; Metazoa; Chordata; Actinopteri; Cypriniformes; Nemacheilidae
Exons: 4
Source: RefSeq, a predicted model, not a curated record
UGCAGGUGUGGACUAAUCAAAAAUGGUGGAUGUGCGGUGCAUGCUGGGAAACUGAGUUCAGAACUCCGGGGAGAGGGAACGGGUGAAGCGAGCUGGCGGUGACGACAUGGGGGGCGUGGCCGGUGGUGCUGAAACCGUUACAAUACCUUGUACUACAAUAGUCUAUUCUUAUUUUUUACUUGUACAUAUUUACAUACACACAUAGCUUUACUCUCUAUAUCUUUAUCUUAUGUUUAUUGUAUUGUAUUUCUUAAUUUUUUAUAUCCAUAGGCCCUUAUUUAAAUCAUUGUGUACUGUAUUCUAUUGUGUUAUGGUCUCUGUGUACUGUUGUUGCUGUUUCUGUGUUCUGGAUGCUCCUGUCACCAAAACAAAUUCCUUGUAUGUGCAAACAUACUUGGCAAUAAAGCUCUUUCUGAUUCUGAUUCUGAACUAAAGCAAUGGGAGGAAAUAACGGAAAAAAUAAACCCACGGAAUCUCGAUAUGAAGAGGACGGUUCAGGAGGUCAUAAAAAAUACGAAAACAACUCUGUGGUAGCUAAAAAAGAGCUGAGUCCAACAAAACGGGUGGAGGACCACCCCCGGCCGACUUGUCGGACUGUACCAAAAUUCUGCAAGACAUCCUUGGGGCGGACUCACCUAUUCUAGCUGGCAUUCCUGGCGGAGUAGAGAGCGUAGUUGAGCCAGUGCAACAAUGUAUCACAGAACCUUUACAGCCAUCUGAGGAACAGCAGAUACAGUACCGCCAGAGCACCAGCAGAGCGCAUGCCCAGGCAACAGCUAUAAGACUGCAAACAGUUCCAACAAGAGAAGAAGUGUUGGAACUACAGAGAGAGGUUCUGCAGCUACAAAAAGAAAAACUGCAGCUAGAGAUUGAGAAAAUAAGGAAGAAGGAAAAUCAGGAACAAUAAUUAGCUUACAUAUUCACUUACUACUAAUAAUCAUACACCAAUUACUAAUGUUGCUAUACAGCUACUAAUUAAAGAAUGCAUUGACGAUGGCAUCUCGGGCAGCAUAUCCAGCCUGCUGGAAAUCUUCAUGGAUCGGUUGCACUUCUUCAGGACCCUGUUCUUCCUCGUGCUCAUUCUCCUCUUGGCAGAAUACAUCUUCGAAAUGUUGAAGAGCACAACACAGGCUACAAUAAUUUUGCAAGCCCUUUAAUUGAGGCUCGACACACAGCUCGCUGUGGAGGCAGUGAAACCUGCAUUUCAGCUGUCCGAUGAUCCUCUCUAUUAUCGACCUUGCGUGAGUCAAAGCAUUGUUGUAUCUUUCCUACAGGGGAAAAUCCAUGAUCGGCAUCAGUACCAACACGAAAGUAAAUUAGUGGUCGACAAGGUGCAAAUGUGUUACAAAAAAUCAUACUUUAAGUUUUUUUACUAUUGGAUUAAGAUUUUUGCAAACCUUACAUACGCAUGCAAAUAUUUUAGGCACCAAAGUUACAUUCGUAAAAAACAGACAUAACAGACAUAAGAAUUUAUAAUUGACAUGCCUGACAUGCAGCAUUAAGAGGAUUCAUGAAGGGUGUCAUGAGCCAAGGUCGGCAGGGGUAUCACUGUCCCUGAGUAGGAGACCAGUAUGCAUUCCAGCUUCCAAAUCUCUCCCAAUCUUGCUCUCAGCCAAAAUUCUAGAGUCGUGUGUACUCCCGGGCCACAAUGCAACGACAUUUGUAAUUCUGCACAGAUGGUCACACACUAACUGCACAUUUAUUGAAUGGUAGUUUUUUCUGUUGAUGUACUGAUAUUCGUGUGUCUGGGGUGCCUGUAUUCUGAUGUGUGUUCUGUCAAUUACACCAUUAUUCGAGGAAAACCUGAUUUCCAAAAAAACUGGUUUGAAUGACCUCUUGUUCGCAUCGAGAUGGAUACUUGACAGUUUGGUUUAAAUGACGGCAAAGAGCCCCUGUAAUCCGGUGAACCACUCUACUGACAAAAGACUUGUGUACAUGGAAAACAUCUCCCACGACAGACUGGAAACUCCCAGUUGCAAAAAAACGCAGUGCUAUUAACAGUUGUAACACCGGAGGAAGUGAGUGGUUACACUGUAACAUGGUCAAGGUCGCCCUCAAUUUUUUAAACUAUUUCAAGUAUCCCGCAGCGAUCAAAUCGGUAAUCCUUCAACAAUUUUUCAUCGCUAAGACAAUUCAAAGGGUUUUCCCUGUCGAAAAAUAGUCGCCUUGGCACAUAAUCUUCUUCAUCGAGUUCCAUAAACUCAGCCAUUUUUGUCCAUCAAACACUUAAGGUUACCCUUUUCAGCCCUUAAGUAAAACAUAUGGAAACUGACUUUGUGCAACCGGGCACAGCUCCUCUUCUGUGGUGAAGUCUUGGGUUGGAGGGCCACCCCCUGUGCCAGAUACAUGAGCCUUAUUUUUAAAUGCUGAAAUCAGUACAGACAGUAAAAUGUAAUAGCAGACACUAUCUACCUAAUUUGUAAAAGAUUUUUCAGCAAUCAAGUCAAUUACUCAACUCUCAACUCAACUUUGUUUAUAUAACGCUUUUUACCAUUUUCAUUGUUACAAAGCAGCUGUACAUGAGACAUAUUGACUAUAAGCAAAACAAUUAAAGUUGUACCUGUAAAAACUCCACACACACAAUAUGCACACGUACUAACACACAUAGACACGGACGCGCACGCACACAGACAUGCACGCACAGUGAAAGCAAACAUUUAAGAUAAAGGAGAGAGAAGCACAGGUCAAAUAUAACAGACUAUAAAUUCCUAUAUGCAAUAUUAAUUAAGUAAAACUUUAAAAUUCUAAAGCAGCCCCCCGGCCAGGCAAAUAGUGCAAAAACAGUAUGCAAACGGUGGCGAGGAACCCAAAACUCUAAUCGAGAAAAAAACCUCAUGAGAACUCAGGCCCAAUCAGGGGAUUCCAGUUCCCCUCUGGCAAAAGCUGCUGCCUCUGCACAAGCUCCACAGUGCUUGCACAACAAGGCUAAAUAAAAAUAAAUACAUUUACUAAUAAGGUAAAUUAUAGAUUUAAGAUUUUCAUUAAUAAUCUGAUAGCCUUUGAAAUUUUGUAAUGAAGACGUGUCAAGUGACCGCGUCCUUCUUUAUCCAGCUCUAUCAUCUCAGCUCUUGUCAGGUUGCCGCUUCCCAUUCUCUGCUCUACCAUCAGGUCUGGCCAUGAA